This 484-nucleotide long non-coding RNA is filed under the name Phoenix dactylifera (date palm). RNAcentral's name for it is "long non-coding RNA (PDAC_LNC004746)". The record is from RNAcentral. Lineage: Eukaryota; Viridiplantae; Streptophyta; Magnoliopsida; Arecales; Arecaceae.
ACCUAUCUGUAUCCAACAAAGAAGCUGAAUCUAAUAUAGCACUGAUUUCUCUAAAGGUUUUGGUUUAUAUCUGUAUUUCCGAAAUGAGUUAGGCAUGUUUCUAACGGAUCAGAAGAAAGAGAUGGGACAAGAGCAUCUUCUACAACGGAGUCGAUCAGAUUAACUCCAUAAAUCUCAUCAUUUUCGUUGUCAUUAUCGGAUUGUUUGCAAAUGUUAAAUAUAUUAAAAUCUAUAGUCAUAUUCCCGAAUGACAUUUUCAUUAUUCCAUUUCGACAGUUGAUCAAAGCAUUGGAAGUAGCUAGAAAUGGGCGGCCUAAGAUGACAGGUAUUGGAGUGGUACAGUUCAUGACAGGCUGGAUAUCUAAUACUAUGAAGUCGACUGAAAAAUAGAAUUUAUCAAUUUGGACAAGUACAUCCUCGACUACUCCUCUUGGUAUCUUUAUAGAUCGAUCUGCAAGUUGGAGAGUAACCUUGGUGGGUUUUA